UGCCAGUAGUCAUAUGCUUCUUUCAAGGACUAAGCCAUGCAAGUGUAAGAGUAAUGCCUUAAAGCAUAGGUCUGCGAAUGGCUCAUUACAACAGCAACAAUCCUAUUGACUAAGUGUGGCUUCGCCCGGGGCUACUCCAUGUGUAUAUCUGGCUCAACCGGCUAGUUAAUACGUGUACGAAAGCACUAUCCUCACAACCCUGUGUGGUCGCAAGGCCUCCAGGGGAGGGUGGUGGCUUGUGGAUGACCUUAAAAGUACUGGUGCCCGAAAGGGCAGUGCAUAUAUGUUGAGUCAGUCCAAUGGGUAGCAAUAGCAGAGCGGCUCCGGCCAGCUGCAAAGUCAUAGGAACUUCUGCCCUAUCAGCUCUUGAUGGUGAGGUAGUGGCUCACCAUGGCAUUGACGGGUAACAGAGAAUUAGGGUUUGAUUCUGGAGAGGGAGCCUGAGAAAUGGCUACCACUGCUAUGGCAGGCAGCAGGCGCGCAAAUUGCCCAAUACCAAUUCAUUGGUGAGGCAGCGACGAAAAAUAGCAUUUCCGACUUCUCAAGGAGUCAGAGUUUGCCAUGGAUAGUAUGUAAACACAGUAAUGAGUAACAACUGGAGGGCAAGUCUGGUGCCAGCAGCCGCGGUAAUUCCAGCUCCAGUAGCGUAUACUAAUAUUGUUGCUGUUAAAAAGCUCGUAGUUCGAUGCAGAGUUGAGGCUGUAGGACAGCUCCUUAAAUCAAAGUUCAAACAUGAUCGUCAAAUAAUCAGGUUCCGAUACUUUAAAGGAGACUCAACUGUUCUGCAGAAUUUGUCCUCAAACUCUAGGCAGUGGUAUGUCUUGGCCAAGGCUCAUUCAUUUGAGUCCGAGGUGGGAGCACACCAAAGUGAGUGUGUGGUUAGAGGCAAAAGUCCUACUAUGUAGGCUUCCUCCUCCCUCAGAGACAUAACCGCGAAAGUCAUUGUGAACAAAUCAGUGUGAUCAAAGCAGCUGGUCCUUCUGGCUGAAUGCUUCAGCAUGAAAUGACAAGGGAUCGACCAACGGGUAUUACCCAAGAGUUCUGCCAGUGCUUUGUGACCCUGUUUGGGCAAUGUGGGGCGUCCUACGAUACUUGAUCAUACGGGUUUUCGGACUCGAUCCUGUAUCUAGGCGAACCAAACGUUAUCAAUGGGAGCUCUCGAGGUGGUGUGUAUUUCUGCGUUAGAGGUGAAAUUCUUAGACCGUAGAAGGACAUACUGCGGCGAAGGCGCUCUUCCAGUCUAGCUCUGUCUAUCAAGAACGAAAGUGUGGGGAGCAAAGAUGAUCAGAUACCGUUGUAGUCCACUACUGUAAACUAUGUCAGUCAGGUUCCGAUUAUGCUCUGCUAGUAUGUCUUUACCGGAAUCUCAUCCUACCCUAAACGAGAAAUCCAGAACCUAUGGAUUCAGGGGGGAGUACUGUCGCAAGGCUGAAACUUAAAGGAAUUGACGGAGUGACACCACAAGGUGUGGAGUAUGCGGCUUAAUUUGACCCAACACGGGGAACCUUACCAGGUCAGGACGCAGUUAGGAUUGACAGACUGUGAGCUCUUUCUUGAUCCUGUGGAGGGUGGUGCAUGGCCGUUCUUAGUUCGUGGAUUGGUCUGUCUGGUUAAUUCCGUAAACGAACGAGAACUCUACCUUCCAAUAGACCUUCAUCUCGUUGUAAUGGCUUGUCCUGCGAUGUAGUUUACUAUGUUGUCUGGAGCUUGUCCAGAGAGUUUGAGGUGCUUCUGCAAGGGACUGUGUGACGUCAAGCACACUGAGGUUAGAGUCAACAGCAGGUCUGUGAUGCUCCUAAAUGUCCUGGGCUGCACGCGCACUACACUGGCAAGGACACUUAGCUGAACCAGCUCCGGCUGGUCCUUCUCCGUGAGGAGUGGGUAACCUGUUAACCCUCAAUUAGUCAUGUUUGAGCCGUGUCAGGGAUAGAUGUUUGCAAUUAUCCACCUUGAACGAGGAAUACCUAGUAAGCAUAGGUCAUCAGCCUAUAUUGAUUACGUCCCUGCCACUUGUACACACCGCCCGUCGUUGCUACUGAUGGUAUGGUAACAGAGGCUGGAAGAGAGACGCUUUCUCUCGAGUUGGCUGUCUCAAAUCCAUCCAAUGUUGUCAUGCUAGAAGAAGCAAAA
Molecule: ribosomal RNA, 2130 nt
Filed under: Peranema trichophorum
Lineage: Eukaryota; Euglenozoa; Peranemea; Peranemida; Peranemidae
Description: partial small subunit ribosomal RNA
Rfam family: Eukaryotic small subunit ribosomal RNA
Source: RNAcentral